GUCCGUAUGGUGGUAUUGGCAGUACGCAUGACACUUAAAAUGUCACAGACUUCGGUCUUGUGGGUUCGACUCCCACUACGGAUACCA
RNAcentral lists this transfer RNA (87 nucleotides) under compost metagenome. RNAcentral describes it as "tRNA-Leu". It matches the Rfam family "tRNA". From Rfam's summary of the family: Transfer RNA (tRNA) molecules are approximately 80 nucleotides in length. Their secondary structure includes four short double-helical elements and three loops (D, anti-codon, and T loops). The record is from RNAcentral.